This 869-nucleotide ribosomal RNA is filed under the name uncultured archaeon. Its description in RNAcentral is "bacterial SSU rRNA". It matches the Rfam family "Archaeal small subunit ribosomal RNA", at positions 1 to 878 of the family's 1478-position model. The record is from RNAcentral.
CUCCGGUGAUCCCCGCCGGACCUGACUGCUAUCGGAUUGGUACUAAGCCAUGCGAGUCGUUGUAGCAAUACAAGGCGGACGGCUCAGUAACACGUAGUCAACCUAACCUAUGGACGUGGAUAACCUCGGGAAACUGAGAAUAAACCGCGAUAGAUCAUUAUGCCUGGAAUGGCUUAUGGUUCAAACAAUUUAUUGCCGUAGGAUGGGACUGCGGCCUAUCAGCUUGUUGGUGAGGUAAUGGCCCCCCAAGGCUAUAACAGGUACGGGCUCUGAGAGGAGAAGCCCGGAGAUGGGUACUGAGACACGGACCCAGGCCCUAUGGGGCGCAGCAGGCGAGAAACCUUAGCAAUGUGCGAAAGCACGACUAGGUUAAUCCGAGUGAUUUCUGUUGAAGAAAUCUUUUGUCAGUCGUAAAACCACAGACGAAUAAGGGGUGGGCAAGUCUGGUGUCAGCCGCCGCGGUAAUACCAGCACCUCGAGUGGUCAGGAGGUUUAUUGGGCCUAAAGCAUCCGUAGCCGGCUACGCAAGUCUCCGGUUAAAUCCAGCUGCUCAACAGAUGGGCUGCCGGAGAUACUACAUAGCUAGGGAGCGGGAGAGGUAGACGGUAUUCUGUGGGUAGGGGUAAAAUCCACUGAUCCAUAGAGGACCACCAGUGGCGAAGGCGGUCUACCAGAACGCGUUCGACGGUGAGGGAUGAAAGCUGGGGGAGCAAACCGGAUUAGAUACCCGGGUAGUCCCAGCUGUAAACGAUGCAAACUCGGUGAUGCAUUGGCUUAUGGCCAAUGCAGUGCCGCAGGGAAGCCGUUAAGUUUGCCGCCUGGGAAGUACGGACGCAAGUCUGAAACUUAAAGGAAUUGGCGGGGGAGCA